RNAcentral lists this transfer RNA (363 nucleotides) under uncultured Microcystis sp. RNAcentral's name for it is "partial 16S-23S ribosomal RNA intergenic spacer". The stretch from base 135 to 208 matches the Rfam family "tRNA". The record is from RNAcentral. Lineage: Bacteria; Bacillati; Cyanobacteriota; Cyanophyceae; Chroococcales; Microcystaceae.
AAGGGAGACCUAAUUCGGGUAGAAGACGAAAAAAUAGUAGUCGAAACCAAGAAUCAAUCCCAAAAGGUCGAAGCGAGGCAAGAUUGGCUUUCAAACUAGGUUCUGGGUUCAAACAAGACCUGAAUCAGGAACAAGGGCUAUUAGCUCAGGUGGUUAGAGCGCACCCCUGAUAAGGGUGAGGUCCCUGGUUCGAGUCCAGGAUGGCCCACCUGUACAGGUGGCAAAAAGAAAGAAAAGAAGCGAGGAAUCAGCACCUUAUCUUACUGACAUAGUAAGAGAGAAUGCUGGCUCUGAGUAAAGAGUCCAGAGGAACCUUGAAAACUGCAUAGAGCUAGGUGAAAAAGCCAAAAAAGAAGACCGCAA